AGCCUAAGGCUAGUAAUCUUAGGUUAAACCUGCCCAAUGUUAUAUUGAAUUAACGGCCGCGGUAAUUUGACCGUGCUAAGGUAGCGAAAUCAAUUGGCUUUUAAUUGGAGUCAGGAAUGAAUGGAAUAACGUGGUUUGACUGUCUCCUUAUUAAUUAAUUGAAAUUACUAUGAAGAUGAAAAAGUCUUUAAGUAGAAAAAAGACGAGAAGACCCUUAGAGUUUCUCUUAAAGUAAAAUUAAUAUGUUUAUAAAAGUUUAGUUGGGGCAACUCUAGAAAACUAUUCGUAACUUCUAAAAUCUGUACUAGCCGAUUAUUUUAAGAUUGUGUAAACUACCUUAGGGAUAACAGCAUUAUGUAAAAUUUAAGUUUGUGACCUCGAUGUUGGACUGGGAAACUAAAAGGCUAGCCGUUUUUUAGGUAAGUUCUGUUCGAACGUAGAAUUCC
Molecule: ribosomal RNA, 446 nt
Filed under: Hypselodoris katherinae
Lineage: Eukaryota; Metazoa; Mollusca; Gastropoda; Nudibranchia; Chromodorididae
Description: partial 16S ribosomal RNA
Rfam family: Bacterial large subunit ribosomal RNA
Source: RNAcentral